Molecule: long non-coding RNA, 1820 nt
Organism: Astatotilapia calliptera (eastern happy)
Lineage: Eukaryota; Metazoa; Chordata; Actinopteri; Cichliformes; Cichlidae
Source: Ensembl
CACGUCAGGCUUAAGGAGCACUAUUCUGAUUAGGAAACGAUCAGUGCCAUAAGAGAAAUUGUCCAUAUGCCACAGAUCAUUAGCUGACUAUCCCUGAGCGCAUAAAUGUGCCAAGACAUGUCUCUGAAUCCAUCACUCUUACUUUCUCAGUGAUCACCUCUCAGGUCUCUGAAGUUCUCAUACCUUCCGGCCUUUGUGUGUGGAAACACACUGGAGCAUAUGGUAUGAGAAAGCUCAUGGGAUACACACAAAGGAAUCACUUGAUCCAUGUCUUUGUCAAACCUACAAACACUGUUAUGUUACCUCUGACAGAGAUAUCAGGUGCUUGCAGCUGAUGAGUGUCACAUUUCUGCCAUGCGCUUUAGACCACAAUGCUUUUCCCUGUCAAGUAACUGCAUCAAAAUGAUAAACACGCUUCAUCUGUUGGUAACAUUCACACAAGAUAAAUGCUAUGUCAUUGUAGCCAAUGGGAAAAUAGUUUGUUUUCUUUUUCAGAACAACGGAGCAGUGAUACAUACCACACAGAGAAUCCUAAUAUUAUUUUUUUGAAGAUUAACUAGUUGUGCCAUAAAUGGAAGAGCCAAAUUUAAACCAAUCAUCAUGCAUUUGGGAUGAGGAAGGUGUCCCAGAUUCUGUCCCUAUAACCGACAGAUUAAUCAGUCAUGUUAUUUGAACCCUUACAGGAUUUAGAGAACAGUUUUUAAUCCAAUGUACUUCAAGGAGGGAACGGUAACUGAGAAACACAAUGAAAAACAUCUCGCACAAAAGAGGACAGAGAUUAAGAGAAUUUGACAUGGUCAUCUAAAAAGCCUGCUGAAACAAACAAAAAAAAAAAAAAAAAAAAAGAGUAUUUGUCAUUAAUGUGCAUUAUCACACAAGCCUCCAUUACCUACACAUAUUGGAAUAUGGGCUGCAGGUGAACCAUUAAUGUCUACUUCAGUGUAAAACAUCAUGAAGUUAAGGGGAAAUAAAGGAGAACUUAUAAGCACAAAGCAGUGUCACAGAAUCUGACUGUAGCUACACUCAACUAUAUAAUCAUCCAACUGUGGAUGCAAACAGGGACAACUCUGAAAAAAAAAAAAAAUUCAAUAACCAGAUUGAAAAAAAUAAUAGUUUACGGGUCACAAACUAAAAUUCAAUCAUUGUAUUGAGAGCGGCUGCUCAUUCUCCUGUGAAUCCAUGUUGAACUUAUAAUGAAAUUCCUAAAAAUCACAGAGUGUGUCGUUGCCUUCACCGAGACGAGAUUAAGAGAUUGUGUGACUGAAGUAAAAUUAAUGAUAUUCCUAAAGGAUGGCAGUAUAAUAAUCAGCACAAAAGCAGUAAAAUGCUAACUGAGUCAACAUUGAAAUAUACUUUUAAUAUAGUGUAGGUAAUGACUUUACACUACAGUGCAAAUUUCUAGAACCAUGUUUACAGACUGCUUUACUCAAACAGCUUUUUCAUAACAAGCACAUUUUAAUACAGCUGUGUAAAAUUCAUAGUUUCCUUUGGUUUUUUGAAAACUUGAGGUGUUGAGCUCUUCACUGUCUCACUGUCUUGGAUGUGGGCCUAAGCUAAUUUGGAGAACAACCUACUGAAGUAGAAGGGUCUGUUGAUGCAGCUCAUAUGGACAUCAGUCUAGAACAUCUCCAUUCAAGCUAAUGUUUCUGUUUUGUUUACAUCAACAGCAAACAACAACAAAAUGAUAACAAUUAUAACAAUAUUUAUUUAAUCUCUUCCUUAGAAUUUGAAGGAUGUGAUCAGUUGUGAUUAUUAUGUCACAGUGAUACUCACAGACAAGGAAAAAAAAAAUCACUUUUUAAUCCAAGCUUCCUCUACUU